GGACUACAAGGGUAUCUAAUCCCGUUUGCUCCCCUAGCUUUCGCGCCUCAGCGUCAGAAGAGAUCCAGCCCGCCGCUUUCGCCACCGGCGUUCCUUCCGAUAUCAACGCAUUUCACCGCUCCACCGGAAGUUCCACGGGCCCCUACCUCCCUCAAGACAGCCAGUAUCCACGGCCGUUUUCCGGUUAAGCCGAAAGAUUUCACCACAGACUUGGCUGCCCGCCUACGCGCCCUUUAAGCCCAGUGAUUCCGAACAACGUUUGCACGGUUCGUCUUACCGCGGCUGCUGGCAC
RNAcentral lists this ribosomal RNA (292 nucleotides) under uncultured bacterium. Its description in RNAcentral is "partial 16S ribosomal RNA". The record is from RNAcentral. RNAcentral also lists the same sequence under 2 other names.